Molecule: long non-coding RNA, 692 nt
Organism: Microtus ochrogaster (prairie vole)
Lineage: Eukaryota; Metazoa; Chordata; Mammalia; Rodentia; Cricetidae
Source: RefSeq, a predicted model, not a curated record
ACCGCGGAGCGGGAGCUUCCGGCUACGAACUUUUCACCCGAGAGAAGUCUGAUUCUUCAAGGCUAGUCACAGCAGAGACCAUUUACACUACGCCGAGCUGGAGAGAUGAUUCAUCAAUGCAAAGUCAGAAGAAAUGCAUGGUGGUCUAGCUUUCUCUCAUUGGCUGCUGAAUUUUGAUUCCAUGUCCUGAAGUCUGACCAUCUUGGAAGACACAACCAACAGCAGUGUCCAAGAGCUGGGACUAUGGGAUGUUGGAGAUCAACUUCCAGUCUGAACUUUGGAGGGACACAUUCAGACCAUGGCAAGAGUAUCUAAGAAGAGAGUGGCUUCAACUUGAAGGCAGAAAGAGACCAGGAGGAGGCCAGCAGCUGGCCACAUCGUCCUCAGCCAGGCAGUGAGUUCUCUCUUGAGCAGGGACCACUUAUGUCUAAACAUACCACAAACACACAUGCUUAUUAAAUUCUAAUAAGCAUUUAAUGAUGUAUAUCUAAAAUAAUUCACAUUUCUAUGUACUUAUUAAAACAUAUCAAAAUUAAAAUAUACAAUGAAACAGUUCCAACACCCUAGAUACUCCUUUUAUUUUUUUCCUAGAUAGUAUUAACCAGAAAUAACCAUUAUUUCAACUUUCUCACUUAGAUCAGCUUUGCCAGAUCUAGUUUCAUACAACUGAAAUCAUAGAUACAUACCCCUUU